This 1431-nucleotide ribosomal RNA is filed under the name uncultured Bordetella sp. RNAcentral describes it as "partial 16S-23S ribosomal RNA intergenic spacer". It matches the Rfam family "Bacterial small subunit ribosomal RNA". Lineage: Bacteria; Pseudomonadati; Pseudomonadota; Betaproteobacteria; Burkholderiales; Alcaligenaceae. The record is from RNAcentral.
UUUGAUCCUGGCUCAGAUUGAACGCUGGCGGGAUGCUUUACAUGCAAGUCGAACAGCGGCACGGACUUCGGUCUGGUGGCAGUCAUUUGGUGAUAAUGUCUCGGAACGUGCCUAAUGACGGGGGAUAACUACGCGAAAGCGUAGGCUAAUGUCACAUACGCCCUUCGAGAAAGCAGGACCUUCGGAAUUUCACGUCGAAUAAUGUAUCGAGAUUAGCUAGUUGGUGGGGUAACGGCUCACCAAGGCGACGAUCCGUAGCUGGUUUGGCAGAGGACGACCAGCCACGCAGGACUGAGACACAGCCCGAACUCCUACGGGAGGCAGCAGUGGAACGCGGAUAAUCAGGAAACUACAAUUGGUGACAUCCGCGUGUGCGAUGAAGGCCUUCGGGUUGUAAAGCACUUUUGGCAGGAAAGAAACGGCACGGGAUAAUACCCGUGCAACUGACGACCUGCGAAUGGCACCACGGUAACUACGAUGCCAGCAACGAUAAUCACGUAGGGUGCAAGCGUUAAUCGGAAUUACUGGGCGUAAAGCGUGCGCAGGCGGUUCGGAAAGAAAGAUGUGAAAUCCCAGAGCUUAACUUUGGAACUGCAUUUUUAACACCAGUUGGAUUGUGUCAGAGGGAGGUGGAAUUCACGUGUAGCAGUGAAAUGCGUGGUAUGGAAGUGCACCGAUGGCGAAGGCGGCCUCUGGGGGAUUAACACUGACGCUCAUGCACGGCAAAUGUAAGGGGAGCAAAACAAGGACAGAUACCCUGGUAGUCCUUUAAAGCGAUGUCAACAGCUGUUGGGGCCUUCAGACCUUGUGCUGUGUUUAAACGAAGUUGACCGCCUGGGAGAGUACGGUCGCAAGAUUAAAACUCAAAGAAGGUGACGGGGACCCGCACAAGCGGUGGAUGAUGGAUUAAUUCGAUGCAACGCAGAAAAUACCCACCUACCCUUGACAUGUCUGGAAUCGAGAUUUGGGAGUGCUCGCAAGAGAACGGACAGGGUGCUGCAUGGCUGUCGUCAGCUCGUGUCGUGAGAUGUUGGGUUAAGUCCCGCAACGAGCGCAACCCUUCAUUAGUUGCUACGAAAGGGCGGCUCGUGAGACUGCCGGUGACAAACCGGAGAAGGUGGGGAUGACGUCAAGUCCUCAUAUGUAUAUGGGUAGGGCUUCGCGUCACAAUGGUCGGGACAGAGGUCGCCAACCCGCGAGGGGGGAGCCAAUCAGAGACGAUCGUAGUCCGGAUCGCAGUCUGCAACUCGACUGCGUGAAGUCAGAAUCGCUAGUAAUCGCGGAUCAUGUCGCGGAUGAAUACGUUCCCAGGUCUUGUACACACCGCCCGUCACACCAUGGGAGUGGGUUUUGCCGAAGUAGUUAGCCUAACCGUAAGGAGGCGGUGCCACGGUAGGAUUCAUGACUGGGGUGAAGUCGUAACAAAGGUAA